ACGUAGGGGGCAAGCGUUAUCCGGAAUUAUUGGGCGUAAAGAGUGCGUAGGUGGUUUUUUAAGCGUGAGGUGAAAGGCAAUAGCUUAACUAUUGUAAGCCUUGCGAACUGGAAGACUUGAGUGCAGGAGAGGAAAGUGGAAUUCCUAGUGGAGCGGUGGAAGGCGUAGAUAGGCGAAGGAGCAACGGUGGCGGAGGCGGCUAACGGGACUGUAUCCGACGCUGAGGCACGAAAGCGUGGGGAGCACAAAG
RNAcentral lists this ribosomal RNA (250 nucleotides) under uncultured prokaryote. RNAcentral describes it as "partial 16S rRNA". It matches the Rfam family "Bacterial small subunit ribosomal RNA", at positions 525 to 775 of the family's 1533-position model. The record is from RNAcentral.